GAGGUGGGAGGAUUGCUUGAGCCUGGGAGAUUGAGGCUGCAGUGAGCUGUGAUUGUGCCACUGCACUCCAGCCUGAGUGACAGAGUGAGAUCCUGUCUC
Nomascus leucogenys (northern white-cheeked gibbon) is the source of this 99-nucleotide microRNA precursor. NCBI's taxonomy places the organism in Eukaryota, Metazoa, Chordata, Mammalia, Primates, Hylobatidae. The record is from Ensembl.